AGAGUUUGAUCCUGGCUCAGAGUGAACGCUGGCGGCGUGCCUAAUACAUGCAAGUCGAACGGACGAGUAAGAGCUUGCUCUUAUGAGUUAGUGGCGCACGGGUGAGUAAUGUAUAGCUAAUCUGCCCUACACUAGAGGACAACAGUUGGAAACGACUGCUAAUACUCUAUACUCCUCUCUAGCAUAAGUUAGAUAGGGAAAGUUUUUCGGUGUAGGAUGAGGCUAUAUUGUAUCAGCUAGUUGGUGAGGUAAUGGCUCACCAAGGCUAUGACGCAUAACUGGUCUGAGAGGAUGAUCAGUCACACUGGAACUGAGACACGGUCCAGACUCCUACGGGAGGCAGCAGUAGGGAAUAUUGCUCAAUGGGGGAAACCCUGAAGCAGCAACGCCGCGUGGAGGAUGACACUUUUCGGAGCGUAAACUCCUUUUGUUAGGGAAGAACAAUGACGGUACCUAACGAAUAAGCACCGGCUAACUCCGUG
RNAcentral lists this ribosomal RNA (482 nucleotides) under uncultured Campylobacter sp. RNAcentral describes it as "bacterial SSU rRNA". It matches the Rfam family "Bacterial small subunit ribosomal RNA", at positions 8 to 507 of the family's 1533-position model. The record is from RNAcentral. Lineage: Bacteria; Pseudomonadati; Campylobacterota; Epsilonproteobacteria; Campylobacterales; Campylobacteraceae.